Peromyscus californicus insignis is the source of this 1411-nucleotide long non-coding RNA. RefSeq lists it as uncharacterized. Lineage: Eukaryota; Metazoa; Chordata; Mammalia; Rodentia; Cricetidae. The record is from RefSeq and is a predicted model, not a curated record. The transcript has 3 exons.
GACAGAGAGAGGCUGAUGAGAGAAACCUGCAGCAGGAAGAAAGCAGUGCUGGGCAGUCAGAAGCAGAAGUGAUCUUUCCAACAUCAAGGAGACUAGAGGCACCUUUGCAUUCAGCUUGGCUAUACCACCAUGGAUGCCAUCUAACCAAGAGGAACUGCUUGAUAACCCAGAGCCCAGCUUCCAUAAGCAGACUGUCUUAUAUGAAUGUAGGCUUCACCACACUACAUAUCACCUGAGUGACUCCAAGACAUGAAGAAAUAAGCUGGGAUGGAGAUGGAAGCUGCCUCCCUGCUGGCUAGCUUUACUGGUGCCAGAAGGAACUACACAUGCUGCUGGGGUAAGGACUGUUAUCGAUAGUCAUAUUCAGAUGUGGGCCUGUGGACAACCUGUGCUACAUCACCAAGCUGCCAAUCCAGAUGUGCCCACUGGUGUAAUAACCACUGGCACGGUUAUUCUCUGGUGACCAAGUGCUUUCUUCCUGGAUUUAAGGCCCACUCCACAGAUGGAAACUCACAGGUUACUAUAAAUUUGGUCCAAAACCCAUGGUUGGGGAGGUCAUAGGCCCUAGUGAAGAAGCUUUUGCUGUUGUUUUGCUAAACAGAGAUACUAUGAUGGUGAAAUUGCCUUCAAAUAUUUUUUAUUACCAUAAAAUAUUUGUGCUGUCAGUUUUGGUCAAAGAUGCUUCAUUUUGCAGAGAGCAGUAGUUAUUACAGAGACUCAUAACUGGUCGAAGUGCUGAGAGAAAGGUGACUGCUGAAUGCUCAGCACUAAAUCAGCAUCUACAUUGAUUUCCACAAGGUUCAAGAACCAUCAGGGAAGAGAGACUGUAAGAGCUGGAGUAAGACGUGGGGUGCUGUCAUCUGGGUAUGUCAAGGCCAUUGCACUCCUGAACACUCAGCAACUGUCAUCAAGAUUGGACCCCUGAAGAUACCAACACGGGAGGGGUUGAGCUCAUGAGACCCUGAACACUUUCAGGCAGUUAAUGGUUGCUGAGGAUAAAGAGACUUUCUUUAGUGAUAAAGCCAUUAUGUAGUGACUGGUAAGUUGUCCAUGUUCCCGUAAAUAGCCUUUCACUCAUGCCCCUGCAUAUAGCCCUAAUUAAACUCUUGGUUCACAAUGAUGACAGUAACAACAACAAAAAGCUAUAAAAAAAUAAUUCUUCCUCCUCACAGCCAACCUGUAGGCUCAUGAGAGGAAUCAUGUAGGACUUAUGCAUACUCCUUUUAGCAGCAAAGCUACUGCCAGACAUCUGUGGACCAUUUUCACUAGAGGAGUCACCAGAAGAUUAGGCUAAAAGGUGUUCCUUUUAGCUAAAGCUAAGCAGUGGCAGCACACACCUUUAAUCCUAGCACUCAGAUGCAGAGGCAGGCAAUUUCUGAUUUUGAGGCCAGCCUGGUCUACAGAAUGAGUU